CGGGUCGAUCCGGGCGGAG
This 19-nucleotide small nuclear RNA is filed under the name Arabidopsis thaliana (thale cress). Its description in RNAcentral is "snRNA_10907". Lineage: Eukaryota; Viridiplantae; Streptophyta; Magnoliopsida; Brassicales; Brassicaceae. The record is from RNAcentral.